Molecule: ribosomal RNA, 500 nt
Filed under: uncultured bacterium
Lineage: Bacteria
Description: partial 16S ribosomal RNA
Rfam family: Bacterial small subunit ribosomal RNA
Source: RNAcentral
GACGAACGCUGGCGGCGUGCUUAACACAUGCAAGUCGAACGGGUCUGCCCUGUUUUUUGCGGGGUGGGUCAGUGGCGAACGGGUGAGUAACACAUGAGUAACCUGCCCCUCACUUCUGGAUAACCGCUUGAAAGGGUGGCUAAUACGGGGUGUUCUGGCUGUGCCGCAUGGUGUGGCUGGGAAAGAUUCACUUUUGUGGUGUUUUGGUGGGGGAUGGGCUCGCGGCCUAUCAGCUUGUUGGUGGGGUGAUGGCCUGCCAAGGCUUUGACGGGUAGCCGGCCUGAGAGGGUGGGCGGUCACACUGGGACUGAGAUACGGCCCAGACUCCUGCGGGAGGCAGCAGUGGGGGGUAUUGCACAAUGGGCGGAAGCCUGAUGCAGCGACGUCGCGUGAGGGAUGGAGGCCUUCGGGUUGUGAACCUCUUUCGCCGGUGAAGAAGGUCCUGCUCUUUGUGGUGGGGUUGACGGUAGCCGGGUUAUGAAGCGCCGGCUAACUACGUG